AUCCCCCAGGGAUCUUGUUAAACUGCAGGUUCUGAUGCAGUAGGGCUGAAGUGGGGCCCAAGAUUCUGCAUUUCUAACAAGCUCCCAAGUGGUGCAGG
Molecule: non-coding RNA, 98 nt
Organism: Otolemur garnettii (small-eared galago)
Lineage: Eukaryota; Metazoa; Chordata; Mammalia; Primates; Galagidae
Source: Rfam